This is an RNA transcript of Biomphalaria glabrata, 707 nucleotides long. RefSeq lists it as uncharacterized. The transcript has 3 exons. The record is from RefSeq and is a predicted model, not a curated record. Lineage: Eukaryota; Metazoa; Mollusca; Gastropoda; Planorbidae.
CGGUAUUUCGUGUGGUAUUCAUAUAGCCUUGUUUUCAAUUUUAUGCAACGGAUUAUGCCUAUGAUUGCGUAUCGUUUAUCUAUUAUUGCAAAUCCCUCAUUCACACGGAUGACAAAAGUGGUCACCAUCGAACCACAAUGGACGAACUAUAAAUUGUAACGGAUGCAAGUAUUCCAGAAAGGCUCAUCGUCAGGGAGUAGAAAAACCUUAAUCAAGUCAGAGUAGCAUAAGCAAGGAAUUUUCACAAUGGGAUGCAGCGCGACAAAGGCGGCAUCACACCAAAAGGCACACCCGAAGAAGGCGACCCAAAAACACAAGCGCGAUGGUGGAGACGACUAUGAUGCCGGAGAUGGUGGAGGCGGCGACGAUGGAGGGGGCCUUGACGCAGGCGGAAAUGAUGAAGGUGGCUACGAAGCAGGGGGAAAUAAUGGAGGAGGCGGAUUUGAUGGUGGUGGGUUCAGCGGUGGUGGAGAAUGAAAUUGAGCAAGACAUAGUUUUGUUUUCAUAAGUAUUAUCAGCAAAUCUAUUUUUGAAGACAUUUGAUUUUAGUAGAAUGAAAUGUCUUAAGUCAUGACACAUCAAUUUAACACUGCAGACCGUUUGUUGAUUUGUGUUUACACUUUUGGAAUUAUUGCAAGCUGUUGAAUUGUUUACAAAUUGGAUAUAUUUAUACGAGAUGAAAUAAAUUCAAUUUAAUGAUUGAGUUA